ACUCAAAGGAAUAGACGGGGGCCCGCACAAGCAGCGGAGCAUGUGGUUUAAUUCGAAGCAACGCGAAGAACCUUACCAAGGCUUGACAUCCCGAUGACGGGUGUAGAGAUACACCUUUUCUUCGGAACAUCGGUGACAGGUGGUGCAUGGUUGUCGUCAGCUCGUGUCGUGAGAUGUUGGGUUAAGUCCCGCAACGAGCGCAACCCUUAUCAUUAAUUGCCAGCGGGUAAUGCCGGGAACUUUAGUGAGACUGCCGGGGAUAACUCGGAGGAAGGUGGGGACGACGUCAAAUCAUCAUGCCCCUUAUGUCUUGGGCUACACACGUGCUACAAUGGCCGGUACAAAGAGUAGCGAGUCGGUAACGAUAAGCGAAUCUCAAAAAGCUGGUCUCAGUUCGGAUUGUGGGCUGCAACCCGCCCACAUGAAGUUGGAGUUGCUAGUAAUCGCGAAUCAGCAUGUCGCGGUGAAUGCGUUCCCGGGCCUUGUACACACCGCCCGU
RNAcentral lists this ribosomal RNA (499 nucleotides) under uncultured bacterium. RNAcentral describes it as "bacterial SSU rRNA". It matches the Rfam family "Bacterial small subunit ribosomal RNA", at positions 899 to 1397 of the family's 1533-position model. The record is from RNAcentral.